Rosa chinensis is the source of this 764-nucleotide long non-coding RNA. RefSeq lists it as uncharacterized. The transcript has 3 exons. The record is from RefSeq and is a predicted model, not a curated record. Lineage: Eukaryota; Viridiplantae; Streptophyta; Magnoliopsida; Rosales; Rosaceae.
GCUUAGUUUUGAACUUUGUAUGUGGUAAUAUCUGGGGACUGGGAUCUCUUUCAUUGCAUGUUAUGGGGUCUUGGUUUGAAUUGAAAUUCGUUUUUCGUUUAAGUUUUUGUUGUUGAGUGCCAUUAAGGCUUCUGUAAUUCCAACUGGUUGUUUUCGAGUUUGGAAAUUUACCCAAAGACAUUUUGAAGUUUGGGGCAUAGAGCAUAAUCACUCUACCUCUCUAAGAAAAAAAAAAUUCUUUCAAGUUCGAAAGGUUAAGCAUCAUGUUUUUUUUUUAACUCAAUCUUAUUUGGUGGUACAUUCAAGUGGUAUGGUGCUUGUUCAAGUGGUACAUUCAUUGAGCUGGAAUAAUCCCCUAGUGUCUGCAGUAAUAGGUCAUAUGAUUGUAAUUAAAUCAAUAAUUUUGCUUCAAUAAUGAACUAAUGCACGAAUCCCUGUUUUGCAUUAAUCGGUAAGCAUUCUUGUACUGUGUGUGUAUGGAUGGGGCAGCUUUCGCAUAAGAGGAAGGUGACAGUUCAGGAGUUCAAAGGGAAACCAUUGGUGUCGUUGAGGGAGUUUUUUACUAAAGAAGGCAAGGAGCUCCCUACUUCUAAAGGUGGAGUAUUAUUUCAGUGAUCUGAACUUAGCUACUACUGAUCAUCUUAUGAGGUUCAUAAACAAAGACCCUGAAGGAUUUGUGCCAAUAUCUGUUGUUGCAUCUUUCAAGAAGAUUAAGGCCCUAGUAAGUAGUCAUUCCUAGCUUGCAACUGUAUUGCGGAACUACU